GGGUAUAGCUCACAGGUAGAGCGUGUGGUUGGCAUGCACAAGGUCCUGGGUUCAAUCCCCAGUACCUCCA
Molecule: transfer RNA, 70 nt
Filed under: Camelus bactrianus (Bactrian camel)
Lineage: Eukaryota; Metazoa; Chordata; Mammalia; Artiodactyla; Camelidae
Also listed under: 3 other names
Rfam family: tRNA
About the family: Transfer RNA (tRNA) molecules are approximately 80 nucleotides in length. Their secondary structure includes four short double-helical elements and three loops (D, anti-codon, and T loops).
Source: Rfam by way of RNAcentral